This 336-nucleotide unclassified non-coding RNA is filed under the name soil metagenome. RNAcentral describes it as "partial contains 5.8S ribosomal RNA, internal transcribed spacer 2, and large subunit ribosomal RNA". The stretch from base 1 to 120 matches the Rfam family "5.8S ribosomal RNA", at positions 35 to 154 of the family's 154-position model. The record is from RNAcentral.
GAUGAAGAACGCAGCGAAAUGCGAUAAGUAGUGUGAAUUGCAGAAUUCAGUGAAUCAUCGAAUCUUUGAACGCACAUUGCGCCCCUUGGUAUUCCAUGGGGCAUGCCUGUUCGAGCGUCAUUUGUACCCUCCAGCCCUGCUGGGUAUUGGGCGUUUUGUUCCGCUACGCGCGUGAACUCGCCUCAAAUGCAUUGGCAGCCCGCCGUCCCGUGUGGGAGCGCAGCACAUUUUGCGCUCUCCGCUGCUGACGGUGGCAUCCACAAGUCUACCAUUUUACGCUUGACCUCGGAUCAGGUAGGGAUACCCGCUGAACUUAAGCAUAUCAAAAGCGGAGGA